AGCAGCACCAGCGGUUGAAAAACCAAGGCGAUCAACAGGCGGCAGGACGAGGACGCUAGCCAUAGGUAGGCUGAGAUGAGGAGGACGACACAUCAGUAGACGCAUCCACAUUACGUGAACGACGAGUAUAAUACUGAGGAAAAGAUGGAAGAAUACGAGGAGGAAUCGUCGAGGUAGAAUGACGGGGUGGAGACGAAGAAGUCGCCAGGGACGAAGGUGCAGAANNNNNNNNNNNNNNNNNNNNNNNNNNNNNNNNNNNNNNNNNNNNNNNNNNNNNNNNNNNNNNNNNNNNNNNNNNNNNNNNNNNNNNNNNNNNNNNNNNNNGAAGAGCCAAGAGGGAGUCACAAGCCCAGGAGGCGCCCCCCCCCCCCCAGGUCGCACCUACCAGGCUUGUGACCUCCUCGUGGGCCCAACUGACGUAAUUCCACUGCCAUAAAUUCCUAUAAAUUCAUAAACCCCCAAAAAGAAACCUAGAUCGGGAGUUCCGCCACCGCAAGCCUUUGUAGACACCAAAAACCAAUCUGGAGCCCGUUCCGGCACCCUGCCGAAGGGGGGAUCCAUCUCCGGUGGCCAUCUUCAUCAUCCCGGCGAUCUCCAUGACGAGGAGGGAGUAGUUCACCCUCGGGGUUGAGGGUAUGUACCAGUAGCUAUGUGUUUGAUCUCUCUCUCUCGUGUUCUUGAGAUGUAUUGAUCUCGAUGUACCACGGGCUUUUCUACUAUAGUUGGAUCCUAUGAUGUUCUUCCCCCUCUCCCUUCUUGUAAUGAAUUGAGUUUUCCCUUUGGAGUUAUCUUAUCGGAUUGAGUCUUUAAGAACACUUGAUGUAUGUCUUGCACGUGUCUAUUUGUGGUGACAAUGGGAUAUUCAUGUGAUUACUUGAUGUAUGUUUUUGUGAUCAAUUUGCGGGUUUCGUGACAUUGGGAACCUAUGCAUAUGGGUUGGCACACGUUUUGACUCUCCAGUAGAAACUUCGGGGAACUCUUUGAAGUUCUAUGUGUUGGUUGAAUAGAUGAUUCUGAGAUUGUGUGAUGCAUAUCGUAUAAUCAUGCCCACGGAUACUUGAGGUGACAAUGGAGUAUCUAGGUGACAUAAGGGUCUUGGUUGAUGUGUGUCUUAAGGUGUUAUUCUAGUACGAACUCUAUGAUGGAUCGAACGGAAAGAAUAGCUUCGUGUUAUUUUACUACGGACUCCUGAAUAGAUUGAUCAGAAAGAAUAACUUUGUGGUGGUUUCGUACCUGACAAUAAUCUCUUCGUUUGUUCUCCGCUAUUAGUGACUUUGGAGUGACUCUUUGUUGCAUGUUGAGGGCUAGUUAUAUGAUCCAAUUAUGUUAUCAUUGUUGAGAGAACUUCACUAGUGAAAGUAUGAACCCUAGGCCUUGUUUCCACGCAUUCGUGCUCAAUUUUAUUAUUAUUUAUCUUGUUGUUUUUGUAAUUUCAGAUUACAAAAAACCUAUAUCCACCAUCCAUAUUUCACUUGUAUCACCAUCUCUUCGCCGAACUAGUGCACCUAUACAAUUUACCAUUGUAUUGGGUGUGUUGGGGACACAAGAGACUCUUUGUUAUUUGGUUGCAGGGUUGCUUGAGAGAGACCAUCUUCAUCCUACGCCUCCCGCAGAUUGAUAAACCUUAGGUCACCCACUUGAGGGAAAAUUGCUACUGUCCUACAAACCUCUGCACUUGGAGGCCCGACAACGUCUACAAGGAGAAGGUUGUGUAGUAGACAUCAAGCUCUUUUCUGGCGCCGUUGCCGGGGAGGUUAGUGCUUGAAGGUAUAUCUUUAGAUCUUGCAAUCGAAUCUUUUAGUUUCUUGUUUUAUCACUAGUUUAGUCUAUAAAAGAAAACUACAAAAAAAUGGAAUUAAGGUUGCCUCAUAUGCUUCAUUUUUUUCAACGUCUUUCGUGAAAAUGAUGGGAAGGAUAAUUGUGCUCAAGUGCUAGAAGAAGAAUUACAUAGAAUGCCUAGCAUAAAAUAUGUGAAUGAUGAGCAUGAUUGCAAUGUUGUUAGUUUGAAUUCUUUGAAUACCCAUGAUGCUAAUGAUAUGCAAAGCCACAAGCUUGGGGAUGCUAUGUUUGAUGAAGAUGAUCUUUUUAGUUCUCCCACUUUGAAUGAUCAAAAUUAUUAUGAUGAAAGCAUGCCCCCUAUUUAUGAUGAUUAUUGUGAUGAUACUUAUGCUAUAAAGAAGAGGGAUGAUAAAACUUGUCAUACUCUUGAGUACCCUCUUACUGAACAUUACUCUUUUUAAUGUGGAAACAAUUCGUAGUGUUCAAGUCUUUUACGAUACUCCCACUACUAUUGAUGAGAAUAAAUUUCCUUAUGUGGAGAGCAGUAAAAUUUCUAUGCUUGUAGAUCAUGAAAAGAAUGCUUUAGGUUCUGGUUAUAUUGUCGAAUUCAUUCAUGAUGCUACUGAAAAUUAUUAUGAGAGCGGAUCAUAUGCUUCUACAUAUUGCAAUAAUAUCAAGCUUCCUCUCCAUGUGUUGCAAUUUUUGAAGCUAUGCUCGUUUUGCCUUCCUAUGCUAGAUGAUUCUUGCUCCAAUAAGUUGUUUGUUCACAAAAUCCCUAUGCAUAGGAAGUUGGUUAGACUUAAAUGUGUUAGUCAUAUGUUUCAUGAUGCUCCCAUUAUGUUUCAAUUCUUAUCUUCUAUGUGAGCAUCAUUGAAAUCAUCAUGCCUAGCUUGAAAGGCAUUAAAGAAAAGCUCUUGUUGGGAGACAACCCAAUAUGUAUCCUUAAUGUUUUUGUGUGUUCACAUGAUUAAGCUACUGUAUUAAUCAUGUUUUAUUGCCUUAGUUUCAAUAAAGUUCCAAGUAAAGCCUUUAUGAUUAGUUUGGGUGAUAGUUGUUUGAUCAUGCUGAAAAAGACAGAAACUUUGCGCUCACGAAAAUAUUUUUAAUUCCUAUCUAGAGAGAGAUAUUGAGCUGAUUCUUUUUUAUCCUGAUUUAUAUGCAAAUUUACCUAAUUUUCAUAAUUGUUUCAGAAUUUUUGGAGGUGCAGAAGUAUGGUUAGCAUUCAAAUCAUUACAGACUAUUCAGUUUUGACAGAUUCUGUUUUCAAUGCAUAGUUUGCUUGUUUUGGUGUUUCCAUAUAUUAUAUUGAGUAAUAUAUGUUGUGGAAAUAGUAAGAUACAGUAGGCAUUGUGUGAAAAUAAUUAUGAGUCUUGCUUUGACAGUACCCAAGUGAUUGAUUUGCUCGUUAUCAUACUAACCCAUCUCACGAAGUUCCGUUAAGUUUUGUGUUGUGAAGUUUUCAAGUUUUGGGUAGAGUUUCGAUGGACUACGGAACAAGGAGUGUAAAGAGCCUAAGCUUGGGGAUGCCCAAGGCACCCCCAAAGCCAUAUUCAAGGACACCAAAGAGCCUAAGCUUGGGGAUGCCCCGGGAAGGCAUCCCCUCUUUCGUCUUCAAUCCAUCAGUAACUUUACUUGGGGCUAUAUUUUUAUUCACCUCAUGAUAUGUGUUUUUCUUGGAGCGUCGUGUAUAAUAGGACUAUUUGCUUUUUGUUUUUUCACCUNNNNNNNNNNNNNNNNNNNNNNNNNNNNNNNNNNNNNNNNNNNNNNNNNNNNNNNNNNNNNNNNNNNNNNNNNNNNNNNNNNNNNNNNNNNNNNNNNNNNACGGCACCUCCGCGUUCAGCACACGUACAGCUCGACGAUGAUCUCGGCCUUCUUGAUCCAGCAAGAGAGACGGAGAGGUAGAAGAUUUCUCCGGCAGCGUGACGGCACUCCGGAGGUUGGUGAUGACCUUGUCUCAGCAGGGCUCCGCCCGAGCUCCGCAGAAACGCGAUCUAGAGGAAAAAUCGUGGAGGUAUGUGGUCGGGCAGCCGUGAGAAAGUCGUCUCAAAUCAGCCCUAAUUGCUCCAUCUAUAUAGGAGGAGGGAGGGGGGGGCCUUGCCUUGGGGUCCAAGGACCCCCAAGGAGUCGGCCGAGCCAAGGGGGGGAGGACUCCCCCCCCAAACCGAGUUGGACUUGGUUUGGUGGGAGGAGUCCCCCUCCCUUCCCAUCUCCUUCCCCUUUUUUUUUUCCUCUUGAUUUUUUCUUCUCUUGGUGCAUUGGGCACUUGUGGGCUGUCCCACCAGCACACUAAGGGCUGGUGUGGCUCCCCAAAUGCCUAUGGGCUUCCCCGGGGUGGGUUGCCCCCCCCCCCCCCGGUCGAACUCCCGGAACCCAUUCGUCAUUCCCGGUACAUUCCCGGUAACUCCGAAAACCUUCCGGUAAUCAAAUGAGGUCAUCCUAUAUAUCAAUCUUCGUUUCCGGACCAUUCCGGAAACCCUCGUGACGUCCGUGAUCUCAUCCGGGACUCCGAACAACAUUCGGUAACCAACCAUAUAACUCAAAUACGCAUAAAACAACGUCGAACCUUAAGUGUGCAGACCCUGCGGGUUCGAGAACUAUGUAGACAUGACCCGAGAGACUCCUCGGUCAAUAUCCAAUAGCGGGACCUGGAUGCCCAUAUUGGAUCCUACAUAUUCUACGAAGAUCUUAUCGUUUGAACCUCAGUGCCAAGGAUUCGUAUAAUCCCGUAUGUCAUUCCCUUUGUCCUUCGGUAUGUUACUUGCCCGAGAUUUGAUCGUCAGUAUCCGCAUACCUAUUUCAAUCUCGUUUUACCGGCAAGUCUCUUUACUCGUUCCGUAAUACAAGAUCCCGCAACUUACACUGAGUUACAUUGCUUGCAAGGCUUGUGUGUGAUGUUGUAUUACCGAGUGGGCCCCGAGAUACCUCUCUGUCACACGGAGUGACAAAUCCCAGUCUUGAUCCAUACUAACUCAACUAACACCUUCGGAGAUACGUGUAGAGCAUCUUUAUAGUCACCCAGUUACGUUGCGACGUUUGAUACACACAAAGCAUUCCUCCGGUGUCAGUGAGUUAUAUGAUCUCAUGGUCAUAGGAAUAAAUACUUGACACGCAGAAAACAGUAGCAACAAAAUGACACGAUCAACAUGCUACGUCUAUUAGUUUGGUCUAGUCCAUCACGUGAUUCUCCCAAUGACGUGAUCCAGUUAUCAAGCAACAACACCUUGUUCAUAAUCAGAAGACACUGACUAUCAUUGAUCAACUGGCUAGCCAACUAGAGGCAUGCUAGGGACGGUGUUUUGUCUAUGUAUCCACACAUGUAAAUGAAUCUUCAUUCAAUACAAUUAUAGCAUGGAUAAUAAACUAUUAUCUUGAUACAGGAAUUAUAAUAAUAACUAUACAUUUAUUAUUGCCUCUAGGGCAUAAUUCCAACAGUCUCCCACUUGCACUAGAGUCUAUAAUCUAGCCCUCACAUCACCAUGUGAAUUACAUUGUAAUAAAUCUAACACCCAUACAGUUCUGGUGCCGAUCAUGUUUUGGACGUGGAAGAGGUUUAGUCAGCGGGUCUGCUACAUUCAGAUCCAUGUGCACUUUGCAUAUAUUUACGUCCUCCUCCUCGACGUAGUCGCGGAUGAGGUUGAAGCGUCGUUUGAUGUGUCUGGUCUUCUUGUGAAACCUUGGUUCCUUUGCUAAAGCAAUGGCACCAGUGUUGUCACAGAACAAGGUUAUUGGAUCCAGUGCACUUGGCACCACUCCAAGAUCCGUCAUGAACUGCUUCAUCCAGACACCCUCCUUAGCCGCCUCCAAGGCAGCCAUGUACUCCGCUUCACAUGUAGAAUCUGCUACGACGCUUUGCUUGGAACUGCACCAGCUUACUGCACCCCCAUUAAGAAUAAAUACGUAUCCGGUUUGCGACUUAGAGUUGUCCGGAUCUGUGUCAAAGCUUGCAUCGACAUAACCUUUUACGGCGAGCUCUUCGUCACCUCCAUACACGAGAAACAUCUCCUUAGUCCUUUUCAGGUACUUCAGGAUAUUCUUGACCGCUGUCCAGUGAUCCACUCCUGGAUUACUCUGGAACCUACCUGCCAUACUUAUGGCCAGGCUAACAUCCGGUCUAGUGCACAGCAUCGCAUACAUGAUAGAACCUAUGGCUGAAGCAUAGGGGGACGGAGCGCAUAUGCUCUCUAUCUUCAUCAGUUGCUGGGCACUGAGUCUUACUCAAUCUCGUACCUUGUAAAACUGGCAAGAACCCUUUCUUGGACUGUUCCAUUUUGAACCUCUUCAAAACUUUAUCAAGGUAUGUGCUUUGUGAAAGUCCUAUCAUGCGUUUUGAUCUAUCCCUAUAGAUCUUAAUGCCUAGAAUGUAAGCAGCUUCUCCUAGGUCCUUCAUAGAGAAACUUUUAUUCAAGUAACCUUUUAUGCUCUCCAAAAACUCUACGUUGUUUCCAAUCAGUAAUAUGCCAUCCACAUAUAAUAUUAGAAACGCCACAGAGCUCCCACUCACUUUCUUGUAAAUACAAGAUUCUCCAACCACUUGUAUAAACCCAAAUGCUUUGAUCACCUCAUCAAAGCGUUUGUUCCAACUCCGAGAUGCUUGCACCAGUCCAUAAAUGGAUCGCUGGAGCUUGCACACCUUGUCAGCAUUUUUAGGAUCGACAAAACCUUCGGGUUGCAUCAUAUACAACUCUUCCUUAAGGAAACCGUUAAGGAACGCCGUUUUGACAUCCAUCUGCCAGAUUUCAUAAUCGAAAAAUGCAGCUAUUGCUAACAUGAUUCUGACAGACUUAAGCAUCGCUACGGGUGAGAAGGUCUUAUCGUAGUCAACUCCUGGAACUUGUGAAAAACCCUUUGCCACAAGUCGAGCUUUAUAAACGAUCACAUUACCGUCAGCGUCCGUCUUCUUCUUAAAGAUCCAUUUGUUCUGAGUAGCCUUGCGGCCCUCAGGUAGUAUCUCCAAAGUCCACACUUUGUUCUCAUGCAUGGAUCCUAUCUCGGAUUUCAUGGCUUCUAGCCAUUUGUUGGAAUCUGGGCCCACCAUUGCUUCUUCAUAAUUUGCAAGUUCAUCGUUGUCUAAUAACAUGAUUGUCAAGACGGGAUUACCGUACCACUCUGGAGCAGCGCGUGAUCUCGUCGACCUGCGUGGUUCAACGGAAACUUGAACUGGAGUUUCAUGAUCAUCAUCAUUAACUUCCUCCUCAACCGGCGUCGCAACGACAGAGGUUUCCCCUUGCCCUGCGCCACCAUCCAGAGGGAUGAGAGGUUCGACAACCUCGUCAAGUUCUAUCUUCCUCCCACUCAAUUCCCUCGAGAGAAACUCCUCGAGAAAAGCUCCGUUUUUAGCAACAAACACUUUGCCCUCGGAUUUGAGAUAGAAGGUGUACCCAACUGUCUCUUUUGGGUAACCUAUGAAGACGCACCUUUCCGCUUUGGGUUCCAGCUUUUCAGGCUGAAGCUUUUUGACAUAAGCAUCACAUCCCCAAACUUUAAGAAAUGACAACUUUGGCCUCUUGCCAUACCACAGUUCGUAUGGUGUCGUCUCAACGGAUUUUGAUGGUGCCCUAUUUAAAGUGAAUGCAGCUGUUUCUAAUGCAUAACCCCAAAAUGAUAACGGCAAAUCAGUAAGAGACAUCAUAGAUCGCACCAUCUCUAACAAAGUACGAUUACGACGUUCGGACACACCAUUACGCUGUGGUGUUCCAGGCGGUGUUAACUGCGAAACAAUUCCACAUUGUCUUAAGUGAGCACCAAACUCGAAACUCAGAUAUUCACCCCCACGAUCAGGCCGUAGGAACUUGAUCUUCUUGUUACGAUGAUUUUCCACUUCACUCUGAAAUUGCUUGAACUUUUCAAAUGUUUCAGACUUGUGCUUCAUCAAGUAGACAUAACCAUAUCUACUUAAAUCGUCAGUGAAGGUGAGAAAAUAACGAUAUCCGCCGCGUGCCUCUACGCUCAUUGGACCACACACAUCGGUAUGUAUGAUUUCCAACAAGUCACUUGCACGCUCCAUUGUUCCGGAGAACGGAGUUUUAGUCAUCUUGCCCAUGAGGCAUGGUUCGCACGUGUCAAGUGAAUCAAAGUCAAGUGACUCCAAAAGUCCAUCAGCAUGGAGUUUCUUCAUGCGCUUUACACCAAUAUGACCCAAGCGGCAGUGCCACAAAAAAUAUGGCGCUAUCAUUGUUUACUCUAACUCUUUUGGUCUCAAUGUUAUGUAUAUGCGUAUCGCUAUCAAGAUUCAAUAUGAACAAUCCUGUCACAUUCGGUGCAUGACCAUAAAAGAUGUUACUCAUAGAAAUGGAACAACCAUUAUUCUCAGAUUUAAAAGAGUAACCGUCUCGCAAUAAACAAGAUCCAGAUAUAAUGUUCAUGCUCAACGCAAGCACUAAAUAACAAUGAUUUAAGUUCAUCACUAAUCCCGAUGCUAGCUGAAGUGACACUGUGCCAACGGCGAUUGCAUCAACCUUGGAACCAUUUCCUACGCGCAUCGUCACUUCGUCUUUCGCCAGCCUUCGUCUAUUCCGCAGUUCGUGCUUCGAGUUGCAAAUGUGAGCAACAGAACCGGUAUCAAAUACCCAGGCACUACUACGAGAGCUGGUUAAGUACACAUCAAUAACAUGUAUAUCAAAUAUACCUGAUUUUUCUUUGUCCGCCUUCUUAUCUGCCAGAUACUUGGGGCAAUUGCGCUUCCAGUGACCCAUACCCUUGCAAUAGAAGCACUCUGUUUCAGGCUUAGGUCCAGCCUUGGGUUUCUUCGGCGGAUUGGCAACAGGCUUGCCGCUCUUCUUCGAAUUGCCCUUCUUGCCUUUGCCGUUUCUCUUGAAACUAGUGGUCUUGCUCACCAUCAACACUUGAUGCUCUUUACGGAGUUCAGACUCUGCGACUUUCAGCAUCGCAAACAACUCGCCGGGAGACUUGUUCAUCCCUUGCAUGUUGUAGUUCAACACAAAGCCUUUAUAGCUUGGCGGCAGUGAUUGAAGGAUUCUGUCAGUGAUAGCCUCUUGUGGGAGUUCAAUCCCCAGCUCAGCUAGACGGUUUGAGUACCCAGACAUUUUGAGCACGUGUUCACUGACAGACGAGUUUUCCUCCAUCUUGCAAGCAUAGAAUUUAUCGGAGGUCUCAUACCUCUCGAUCCGGGCGUUCUUCUGAAAGAUAAACUUCAACUCCUGGAACAUCUCAAAUGCUCCAUGACGCUCAAAGCGACGUUGAAGUCCCGGUUCUAAGCCAUACAAGACUGCACAUUGAACUAUUGAGUAGUCCUCCUUACGCGCUAACCAAGCGUUCUUAACAUCCUGAUCAGCCGUAGCGGGUGGUUCAUCUCCUAGCGCAGCAUUAAGGACAUAAUCCUUCUUCCCAACUUGUAAGAUUAGCUUAAGAUUACAAGCCCAGUCUACAAAGUUGCUUCCAUCAUCUUUCAACUUAGCUUUCUCUAGGAACGUAUUAAAAUUCAGGAUGACACUCGCGUGAGCCAUGAUCUACAACACAAAUAUAUUCAAAGUGGACUUAGACUAUGUUCAAGAUAAUUAGAGUUCAACUUAAUCAAAUUAUAUGCUAAACUCCCACUCAAAAAAAAUACAUCUCUCUAGUCAUUUGAGUGGUUCAUGAUCCACUUACACUAUCCCAAGUCCGAUCAUCACGUGAGUUGAGUAUAGUUUCAGUGGUAAGCAUCCCUAUGCUAAUCAUAUCAACUAUAUGAUUCAUGAUCGACCUUUCGGUCUCAUGUGUUCCGAGGCCAUGUCUGCACAUGCUAGGCUCGUCAAGCUUAACCCGAGUGUUCCGCGUGCGCAACUGUUUUGCACCCGUUGUAUGUGAACGUUGAGUCUAUCACACCCGAUCAUCACGUGGUGUCUCGAAACGACGAACUGUAGCAACGGUGCACAGUCGGGGAGAACACAAUUUCGUCUUGAAAUUUUAGUGAGAGAUCACCUCAUAAUGCUACCGUCGUUCUAAGCAAAAUAAGGUGCAUAAAAUGAUUAACAUCACAUGCAAUUCAUAAGUGACAUGAUAUGGCCAUCAUCACGUGCUUCUUGAUCUCCAUCACCAAAGCACCGGCACGAUCUUCUUGUCACCGGCGCCACACCAUGAUCAUCCAUCAACGUGUUGCCAUCGGAGUUGUCGUGCUACUUAUGCUAUUACUACUAAAGCUACAUCCUAGCAAAAUAGUAAACGCAUCUGCAAGCACAAACGUUAGUAUAAAGACAACCCUAUGGCUCCUGCCGGUUGCCGUACCAUCGACGUGCAAGUCAAUAUUUCUAUUACAACAUGAUCAUCUCAUACAUCCAAUAUAUCACAUCACAUCAUUGGCCAUAUCACAUCACAAUCAUACCCUGCAAAAACAAGUUAGACGUCCUCUAAUUUUGUUGUUGCAUGUUUUACGUGGUGACCAAGGGUAUCUAGUAGGAUCGCAUCUUACUUACGCAAACACCACAACGGAGAUAUAUGAGUUGCUAUUUAACCUCAUCCAAGGACCUCCUCGGUCAAAUCCGAUUCAACUAAAGUUGGAGAAACCGUCACUUGCCAGUCAUCUUUCAGCAAGGGGGUUACUCGUAACGAUGAAACCAGUCUCUCGUAAGCGUACGAGUAAUGUCGGUCCAAGCCGCUUCAAUCCAACAAUACCGCAGAAUCAAGAAAAGACUAAGGAGGGCAGCAAAACGCACAUCACCGCCCACAAAAACUUUUGUGUUCUACUCGAGAAGACAUCUACGCAUGAACCUAGCUCAUGAUGCCACUGUUGGGGAACGUCGCAUGGGAAACAAAAAAUUUCCUACACGCACGAAGACCUAUCAUGGUGAUUUCCAUCUACGAGAGGGGAUGAGUGAUCUACGUACCCUUGUAGAUCGUACAGCAGAAGCGUUAGAGAACGCGGUUGAUGUAGUGGAACGUCCUCACGUCCCUCGAUCCGCCCCGCGAACAAUCCCGCGAUCAGUCCCACGAUCUAGUACCGAACGGACGGCACCUCCGCGUUCAGCACACGUACAGCUCGACGAUGAUCUCGGCCUUCUUGAUCCAGCAAGAGAGACGGAGAGGUAGAAGAGUUCUCCGGCAGCGUGACGGCGCUCCGGAGGUUGGUGAUGACCUUGUCUCAGCAGGGCUUCGCCCGAGCUCCGUAGAAACGCGAUCUAGAGGAAAAACCGUGGAGGUAUGUAGUCGGGCAGCCGUGAGAAAGUCGUCUCAAAUCAGCCCUAAUUGCUCCAUAUAUAUAGGAGGAGGGAGGGGGGGGCCUUGCCUUGGGGUCCAAGGACCCCCAAGGAGUCGGCCGAGCCAAGGGGGGGAGGACUCCCCCCCAAACCGAGUUGGACUUGGUUUGGUGGGAGGAGUCCCCCCUCCCUUCCCAUCUCCUUCCCCUYUUUUUUUUCCUCUUGAUUUUUCUUCUCUUGGUGCAUUGGGCACUUGUGGGCUGUCCCACCAGCACACUAAGGGCUGGUGUGGCUCCCAAAUGCCUAUGGGCUUCCCCGGGGUGGGUUGCCCCCCCCCNNNNNNNNNNNNNNNNNNNNNNNNNNNNNNNNNNNNNNNNNNNNNNNNNNNNNNNNNNNNNNNNNNNNNNNNNNNNNNNNNNNNNNNNNNNNNNNNNNNNAUCAGGCAGAGAUACAGACCAGUGGCGUGCAAAGGCCACGACAAGAGGUGUACGAAUAGUGGUCAUAUGGGCCAGAGGAACAAAUGUCUUGUCGUAAUCAUGAUCAUGCUCCUGCUGAAAGCCACGAGCCACAAAACGAUCUUUGUAACGCUCAAGAGAACCAUCAGAGCGAGUCUUAACCUUAGACCCACUUACAAGUGAUGGAACGGACACCUGGAGGAAGAGAAACAAGAUCCCAUGUACCGGUGCAUUCAGGAGCUGCAAUCUCCUCUGCCAUUGCAAACUACCAUUCAAGAUGAACAAUAGCCUCAAGAUAAGAAGUCGGCUCAAGAACAGCAGCACCAGCGGUUGAAAAACCAAGGCGAUCAACAGGCGGCAGGACGAGGACGCUAGCCAUAGGUAGGCUGUGCUGAGGAGGACGACACAUCAGUAGACGCAUCCACAUUACGUGAACGACGAGUAUAAUAUUGAGGAAAAGAUGGAAGAAUACGAGGAGGAAUCGUCGAGGUAGAAUGACGGGGUGGAGACGAAGAAGUCGCCGGGGACGAAGGUGCAGAAUCCCGUGACAUGCCAGGUGAGGAAACCGUGGAAGAUGGUGGCGGCGAAUCGAUAAGAGGUGGAGAAGCAGAGUUCGCAGGACGAAGAGACAAAGGCUCAACGGGGGUGAUAGGUAUGACAUGAAAAGUGAGGAAAAAGAUAUCCUCCACUGAAAAGGUCAAGGAAGAUGGACGUGGGUAGAAGGGACGAGACUCAUCAAGAGUCACAUCCCGAGAAAUACGCAUCCGAUGACCGAUAGGAUCCCAACAACGAUAGCCCUUAUGUUCAUCAGUAAUGCGCUCGUCGUUAAGCACAACACGAGCAAGAAGAUCCUGGAUGUACUUUUUUUGAGAUAUAAAAAAGCCAUCAGAGGUAGAAGACACUUCAAUCCCAUGAAAGUGGCGAAGAGGUCCAAGAUCAGACAUAAGAAACUGCUCACUAAGACGGGACUUUACAAAGGCAAUAUACUUAGGGUCGUCGCCAGUGAUGAUCAUGUCGCGAGUGAUGAUCAUGUCAUUGACAUAGAGAAGAAGAAGAGUCCGACCACAAGGUGAAAGUGGACAAACAAUGUUGGAUCAUGAGCACUCGCCGAAAAACUAGCGGCAGUCACCACAGAGGCAAAACGCUCAAACCAGGCGCGGGGUACUUGCUUAAGGCCAUAGAGAGAGCGACGGAGACGACAUACCAUGCCAUCAGGAACAGAAUACCCAUGUGGUGGCUGCAUGUAUACCUCCUCACGCAGAUCACCAUUAAGAAAGGUAUUCUUAACAUCAAGCUGAGAUACAUACCAGUGACGUGCAAAGGCCACGACAAGAAGUGUACGAAUAGCGGUCAUAUGGGCCAGAGGAGCAAAAGUCUUGUCGUAAUCACGAUCAUGCUCCUGUUGAAAGCCACGAGCCACAAGACGAGCUUUGUAACGCUCAAGAGAACCAUCAGAGCGAGUCUUAACCUUGCCAUCGCAAACUACCAUUCAAGAUGAACAAUAGCCUCACGAUAAGAAGUCGGCUCAAGAACAACAACACCAUCGGUUGGAAAACCAAGACGAUCAACAGGCGGAAGCGGACGAGGACGCUAGCCAUAGGUAGGCCGAGAUGAGGAGGACGACACAUCAGUUGACGCAUCCACUUUACGUGAACGACGAGUAUAAUACUGAGGAAAAGAUGGAAGAAUACGAGGAGGAAUCGUCGAGGUAGAAUCAGGGGGUGGAAACGAAGAAGUCACCGGGGAUGAAGGUGCAGAAUCCGGUGACAUGCCAGGUGAGGAAACCGUGGAAGAUGGUGGUGGCGAUCCGAGGGAUCACUAGCCCACGUAGCAUCCGAAUAGGCCCGAAGCUGUAAAGAACUGGAGCGAGGAAAGAAUAGAUGGUGAGAGAUCGUGCCUCAAAGAUAUAGUGAACCGAAGUGGGAGCAGAGACACAAACUGACUCAGAAUAUGAACCAGAUAAGAGAUAUCAGGACGAGUGACAACUAGAUAGACAAGAUUCCCAACAAGAUGACGAUAACACGUUGGAUCAGGCAAGGGGUCACCGUCAGUAUCACGGAGGUGAAUAUUCAGCUCCAUGGGUGUCUCAACAAUGCGCUCAUCAGUGGGAGCAGCACGAGCAAGAAGAUCCUGGAUAUACUUUUCCUGAGAUAUAAAAAAGCCAUCAGAGGUAGAAGAGACUUGAAUCCCAAGAAAGUAGCGAAGAGGUCCAAGAUCAGACAUAAGAAACUGCUCACUAAGACGGGCCUUUACAAAGGUAAUAUACUCGGGGUCGUCGCCAGUGAUGAUCGUGUCAUUGACAUAGAGAAGAAGAGUCCGAGCACGAGGUGAAAGAUGGACAAACAAUGCUGGAUCAUGAGCACUCGCUAAAAAACCAGCGAUGGUCACCGCAGAGGCAAAACGCUAAAACCAGGCGCGGGGGGGGGGGGGGGGCCUUGCUUAAGGCCAUAGAGAGAGAGCGACGAAGACGACAUACCAUGCCAUCAAGAGCAGAAUACCCAGGUGGUGGCUGCAUGUAUACCUUCUCACACAGCUCACCAUUAAGAAAGGCAUUCUUAACAUCAGGCAGAGAUACAGACCAGUGGCGUGCAAAGGCCACGACAAGAGGUGUACGAAUAGUGGUCAUAUGGGCCAGAGGAACAAAUGUCUUGUCGUAAUCAUGAUCAUGCUCCUGCUGAAAGCCACGAGCCACAAAACGAUCUUUGUAACGCUCAAGAGAACCAUCAGAGCGAGUCUUAACCUUAGACCCACUUACAAGUGAUGGAACGGACACCUGGAGGAAGAGAAACAAGAUCCCAUGUACCGGUGCAUUCAGGAGCUGCAAUCUCCUCUGCCAUUGCAAACUACCAUUCAAGAUGAACAAUAGCCUCAAGAUAAGAAGUAGGCUCAAGAACAGCAGCACCAGCGGUUGAAAAACCAAGGCGAUCAACAGGCGGCAGGACGAGGACGCUAGCCAUAGGUAGGCUGUGAUGAGGAGGACGACACAUCAGUAGACGCAUCCACAUUACAUGAACGACGAGUAUAAUAUUGAGGAAAAGAUGGAAGAAUACGAGGAGGAAUCGUCGAGGUAGAAUGACGGGGUGGAGACGAAGAAGUCGCCGGGGACGAAGGUGCAGAAUCCCGUGACAUGCCAGGUGAGGAAACCGUGGAAGAUGGUGGCGGCGAAUCGAUAAGAGGUGGAGAAGCAGAGUUAGCAGGACGAAGAGACAAAGGCUCAACGGGGGUGAUAGGUAUGUCAGGAAAAGUGAGGAAAAAGAUAUCCUCCACUGAAAAGGUCAAGGAAGAUGGACGCGGGUAGAAGGGACGAGACUCAUCAAGAGUCACAUCCCGAGAAAUACGCAUCCGAUGACCGUAGGAUCCCAACAACGAUAGCCCUUAUGUUCAUCAGUAAUGCGCUCGUCGGUAAGAACAACACGAGCAAGAAGAUCCUGGAUGUACUUUUCUCGAGAUAUAAAAAAGCCAUCAGAGGUAGGAGACACUUCAAUCCCAAGAAAGUAGCGAAGAGGUCCAAGAUCAGACAUAAGAAACUGCUCACUAAGACGGGACUUUACAAAGGCAAUAUACUCAGGGUCGUCGCCAGUGAUGAUCAUGUCGCGAGUGAUGAUCAUGUCAUUGACAUAGNNN
RNAcentral lists this long non-coding RNA (14986 nucleotides) under Hordeum vulgare. RNAcentral's name for it is "long non-coding RNA (HVUL_LNC019196)". Lineage: Eukaryota; Viridiplantae; Streptophyta; Magnoliopsida; Poales; Poaceae. The record is from RNAcentral.